Grammomys surdaster is the source of this 1964-nucleotide long non-coding RNA. RefSeq lists it as uncharacterized. Lineage: Eukaryota; Metazoa; Chordata; Mammalia; Rodentia; Muridae. The transcript is spliced from 2 exons. The record is from RefSeq and is a predicted model, not a curated record.
UGCUUACUUUUUUUUUUUUUUUUGGCUAUAGCUCAGGACCAGCUGCUCAGGGAAAGGUGCUGCCCAGUGUGGACUGAGACCUCUUACAUCAAUUAAUAAUCUGGACAACCCCCAGAGACAUGACCACAGGCCAGUCUGUUCUAGGCAAUUCCUUAAUGGAGGCUUUCCUCUCAGAUGACAAGGCUUUAUCCCAUUGACAGUUAAAGCUAAGGAGGCCAAGUUGUAAAGAAUAAAGGUCUCCAGUCCCUAGACUUGGGUCUUUUGUUACUCUAUAGACAGAGAGCUUAGUCUCCAUUAGGCCUAGGAGAUCCUCCCCAUCAUUUUCUACCAAUAGAGUCACUGGAUUUGCUCUGUAAAUAUUUAUAUAAAACUAAAUUGUAGGACAAAGUCAAAUCACCCUGAGCAAAGAGCACUAUAAGCCAGGCAUGACCUGAGCCAGUCACCCAACACUUUUGGUUUUGAACAAGAAACUAAAGUGUGACUCAGAAGGACUGCCCUCAGCCCUACUGUGUUUGGAGUUAAAAGUCUCCCAGCUAGAGGCCACUCAGCUCAGCUAAGGUAAGGGUGUUAGAACAACCAGAAGCACUCCCAUUAAGACACCCAGUUUUCCUAAUUAGUUUUACUGUUUUCCUUUUAUAGGAAAAAAAAAAACUCCUACAAACCUACUAAAGCCAGCCCCCAGGGCUGUUUCUUGUUGUUGCUUGUUUGUUGCCAAUGUCCUUACUACUCCUUUAUGUAGGGAAGUGCUGCCAACUUCUCUGCAGACCCCAUCACACCUUUGCUCCUCCCAGAACCUACCAGUGUCCUGGCCUGGGAUUCUGACCUUCCAGGGAUGUGUGGCUGGGAAGGUCUUGCUGGAACCUAUCCCUACCCAAGUACUGCUGGGUACAGACUGCUUAGCUAUGGGCUGGUCCUGCAGGAAGCUGUCCCUCUCUCACCUUCCUCCACUGACACUGGUUUGAAAAAUUAGGAACCCCAUUUCCUGCCCUGCCUUGCCUUCUAUUUCCCCCGUUCUUUACCUCCCUCCUCUGUGCUUCAUUUAGCACUCUGCAUGCAGCUGUUACUGUGCUUAACACAGUUAUUAGUUGUUUAUGUGUCUCUGCUUGUUCCACUUUUAACUUCUUGAGAACUGGAGAAUUGAUCAUUCAGCAAAACAGGUAUUCAAUAAAGAGGUAUCACAGGAAUUUCCCAUAAUUCUUAUUUUGGUCACUGAAUCAAUGUCUUUCUUAGGGAUGAGGAGAAGGCUCAAGGAAAGAAUGAAGAUGGAGGAGGAAAGGCCUGCUUCUCAGCCGGAGGACUUUCAGGGCUGGGCCACUGAAACAGACCAGCCUGGCACAUCUGGAAUGGGCCCGGGACUUUCAUUCCCAGGCAGCUCAUGGACGGCCACUAAUGUCCAAAGAUGACAAGCAAGCAGCUGGGACCACUUAGGGACCUCUGAGAGCUGAGAUGGCACAGGGUGUCUGGAGAGCGAGAGCCGCAGGCCAGGACAGAGAGAAGAUGAGUAUGAGGCGGGCUUUAGAACUCAUCACCUCAUCAAACGGAACUGACAACUAGAGGAAGGAGUGCAGGGCUUGGCAGCCUCUAGAAGUCAAAGCUGAAUAAAUGACCAGAGGGUAAGUAAUACAUUAGGGCAGAUAGGGACUUUGGUAAAGUAAAAAUCUCAUUUGAUUUAAAUUAUAAAUGGAUGGAUUGGCAUGGAGAAAAAAGAAAAAAGAAUCACAGUGAAACCUGGGUGCUUUAAAAAGCAAGAGAAAGAUGCAUCAGGACAAGGAGGGGGGACCCCAACCUUUCCCCAGUCAGUGAGAAAUUUGGGAGCUGGGCUGAAGACAUUGAGAUUUUCAUUUUCUCCUUUAGAAUUUGCUAUUUAGGCUGAGCAUGGUGUUGCACACAUGUAAUCUCCGCACCCAAGAAACUGGCAGGAAGAUCACCUGCUCUAAAAAAAUAAAUAAAUGAAAAAUCCUUCA